This is a long non-coding RNA of Exaiptasia diaphana, 428 nucleotides long. RefSeq lists it as uncharacterized. The record is from RefSeq and is a predicted model, not a curated record. Lineage: Eukaryota; Metazoa; Cnidaria; Anthozoa; Actiniaria; Aiptasiidae. The transcript is spliced from 4 exons.
UAGAAGGGGAGGGGGGCCUCCCCUAUAUUUGCUAUACAGGUGUUCGGCUGUGCAUUCGGACUACCAUUGGAUUGAAUAAAUCAGCCAGCUUACGUGAAGUACUAACCUAACUGCGAGGUUCAUGGAUCGAAAAUGAAACAUGACUUUCCCAUUGAAUAACUUAUUCACCAGAGAAGAUAAUGUUCUGUCUUAAAUACUUGGAAAGUUUAGUUGGAUAGUCGGUCAUUACACCAGCCACUUUUAGUUCAUCAAAUGCAAGUUCAAAUUCAUCUUCAUCAUUUAGCACCCAAAGGUGUUUAAACAGACUUGGUCGGAUUAGUAGCCUUAUUUGUAUGAAAGUAAAGAAAUUUAUAAACUUUAGGUCUCACUUUUUGACAACGUUGGUAAUAAUAAUACAGAAGAAGAAAUAAAGUUCAAAUUAGCGAAAA